Molecule: ribosomal RNA, 425 nt
Filed under: uncultured bacterium
Lineage: Bacteria
Description: partial 16S ribosomal RNA
Rfam family: Bacterial small subunit ribosomal RNA
Source: RNAcentral
GUGGGGAAUAUUGGACAAUGGGGGCAACCCUGAUCCAGCCAUGCCGCGUGAAUGAUGAAGGCCUUCGGGUUGUAAAGUUCUUUUGGAGGGGACGAUGAUGACGGUACCCUCAGAAUAAGCUCCGGCUAACUUCGUGCCAGCAGCCGCGGUAAUACGAAGGGAGCUAGCGUUGUUCGGAAUUACUGGGCGUAAAGGGCGCGUAGGCGGUUUGGUUAGUCAGAUGUGAAAGCCCAGGGCUUAACCCUGGAACUGCGUUUGAUACUGCCAAGCUUGAAUUCGGGAGAGGUGAGUGGAAUUCCCAGUGUAGAGGUGAAAUUCGUAGAUAUUGGGAAGAACACCGGUGGCGAAGGCGGCCCACUGGACCGACAUUGACGCUGAGGCGCGAAAGCGUGGGGAGCAAACAGGAUUAGAAACCCCAGUAGUCC